UUUACAUGUUAUUAUGUAUUUCUUAUAACUUUUCUCUGCCUCUUUUUUUCUGUUUUCACGCUCUGGACUGGAUCAUCCUUCAUUGGCUGCUGAUGUCGUUGGAAAUGACCCGGUGUGAUUUGUGAUGGCAGCAGAGAGUCGGAUGAGGAAAUGGGGAACAGGUGGCCACUGGCUUGAGCUGUGGAUUAACAACAUGCCAACAGAAAAACAACACACACACAACCCCACGCACUCAUUAUUCAUCCCAGGAGGGCACACUGAAACUCAAAAACACCCAGCGGAGGAGAGCAC
Long non-coding RNA from Cyprinus carpio carpio, 291 nucleotides. Lineage: Eukaryota; Metazoa; Chordata; Actinopteri; Cypriniformes; Cyprinidae. The record is from Ensembl.